RNAcentral lists this ribosomal RNA (395 nucleotides) under uncultured bacterium. RNAcentral describes it as "bacterial SSU rRNA". It matches the Rfam family "Bacterial small subunit ribosomal RNA", at positions 358 to 770 of the family's 1533-position model. The record is from RNAcentral.
GGAAUAUUGGACAAUGGGGGAAACCCUGAUCCCGCAAUGCCGCGUGAGUGAUGACGGCCUUCGGGUUGUAAAGCUCUUUUACCCGGGAUGAUAAUGCCCGUACCGGGAGAAUAAGCUCCGGCUAACUCCGUGCCAGCAGCCGCGGUAAUACGGAGGGAGCUAGAGUUGUUCGGAAUUACUGGGCGUAAAGCGCGCGUAGGCGGCUAUUUAAGUCAGGGGUGAAAGCCCGGGGCUCAACCCCGGAACGGCCCUUGAAACUGGAUGGCUAGAAUCCUGGAGAGGCGAGUGGAAUUCCGAGUGUAGAGGUGAAAUUCGUAGAUAUUCGGAAGAACACCAGUGGCGAAGGCGACUCGCUGGACAGGUAUUGACGCUGAGGUGCGAAAGCGUGGGGAGCA